GACGAACGCUGGCGGCGUGCUUAACACAUGCAAGUCGAACGAGACGACUGAAAGCUUGCUUUUAAAAGUCGAGUGGCAAACGGGUGAGUAACGCGUAGACAACCUGCCUUUGAGAUGGGGACAACAGUUCGAAAGGACUGCUAAUACCGAAUGUUGUAUAUUUUCCACAUGGAAGAUAUAUUAAAGAUGGCCUCUAUUUAUAAGCUAUCGCUCAAAGAUGGGUCUGCGUCUGAUUAGCUGGUUGGUGGGGUAACGGCCUACCAAGGCGACGAUCAGUAGCCGGUCUGAGAGGAUGGACGGCCACAUUGGGACUGAGACACGGCCCAGACUCCUACGGGAGGCAGCAGUGGGGAAUCUUCCACAAUGGACGAAAGUCUGAUGGAGCAACGCCGCGUGAGUGAAGAAGGGUUUCGGCUCGUAAAGCUCUGUUGUCGGGGACGAAUGUGCAGUAUUUGAAUAAAGUACUGCAAUGACGGUACCUGACGAGGAAGCCACGGCUAACUACGUGCCAGCCGCCGCCGUAA
RNAcentral lists this ribosomal RNA (524 nucleotides) under uncultured bacterium. RNAcentral's name for it is "partial 16S ribosomal RNA". It matches the Rfam family "Bacterial small subunit ribosomal RNA", at positions 28 to 523 of the family's 1533-position model. The record is from RNAcentral.